GAUGAAGAACGUAGUGAAAUGCGAUAAGUAGUGUGAAUUGCAGAAUUCAGUGAAUCAUCGAAUCUUUGAACGCACAUUGCGCCCCUUGGUAUUCCAUGGGGCAUGCCUGUUCGAGCGUCAUCUACACCCUCAAGCUCUGCUUGGUGUUGGGUGACUGUCCGCUUCACGGCGGACUCGCCUCAAAAUUAUUGGCGGCCGGUACAUUGGCUUCGAGCGCAGCAGAAACGCGAACUCGGGCCCGUCGUAUUGGCUCCCAGAAGCUAUCUUCACAAUUUUGACCUCGGAUCAGGUAGGGAUACCCGCUGAACUUAAGCAUAUCAAUAAGCGGAGGA
This 332-nucleotide unclassified non-coding RNA is filed under the name soil metagenome. RNAcentral describes it as "partial contains 5.8S ribosomal RNA, internal transcribed spacer 2, and large subunit ribosomal RNA". The stretch from base 1 to 120 matches the Rfam family "5.8S ribosomal RNA", at positions 35 to 154 of the family's 154-position model. The record is from RNAcentral.